CGCGGCCUAUCAGCUUGUUGGUGGGGUGAUGGCCUACCAAGGCGACGACGGGUAGCCGGCCUGAGAGGGCGACCGGCCACACUGGGACUGAGACACGGCCCAGACUCCUACGGGAGGCAGCAGUGGGGAAUAUUGCACAAUGGGCGCAAGCCUGAUGCAGCGACGCCGCGUGAGGGAUGACAGCCUUCGGGUUGUAAACCUCUUUCGCCAGGGACGAAGCCUUUUGGGGUGACGGUACCUGGAGAAGAAGCACCGGCUAACUACGUGCCAGCAGCCGCGGUAAUACGUAGGGUGCGAGCGUUGUCCGGAAUUAUUGGGCGUAAAGAGCUCGUAGGCGGUUUGUCGCGUCGGCCGUGGAAACUGGAGGCCUAACCUUCAGCGUGCGGUCGAUACGGGCAGACUUGAGUUCGGUAGGGGAGUCUGGAAUUCCUGGUGUAGCGGUGAAAUGCGCAGAUAUCAGGAGGAACACCGGUGGCGAAGGCGGGACUCUGGGCCGAUACUGACGCCGAGGAGCGAAAGCGUGGGGAGCGAACAGGAUUAGAUACCCUGGUAGUCCACGCUGUAAACGUUGGGCGCUAGGUGUGGGUGACAUUCCACGUUGUCCGUGCCGUAGCUAACGCAUUAAGCGCCCCGCCUGGGGAGUACGG
This 647-nucleotide ribosomal RNA is filed under the name uncultured Actinomycetes bacterium. RNAcentral describes it as "bacterial SSU rRNA". It matches the Rfam family "Bacterial small subunit ribosomal RNA", at positions 232 to 885 of the family's 1533-position model. Lineage: Bacteria; Bacillati; Actinomycetota; Actinomycetes. The record is from RNAcentral.